CAGCAGCCGCGGGAAUACGAAGGGUGCAAGCGUUAAUCGGAAUUACUGGGCGUAAAGCGUGCGUAGGCGGUGAGUUAAGUCUGCUGUGAAAUCCCCGGGCUCAACCUGGGAAUGGCAGUGGAUACUGGCUCGCUAGAGUGUGUCAGAGGAUGGUGGAAUUCCCGGUGUAGCGGUGAAAUGCGUAGAGAUCGGGAGGAACAUCAGUGGCGAAGGCGGCCAUCUGGGACAACACUGACGCUGAGGCACGAAAGCGUGGGGGGCAAACAGGAUUAGAUACCCCCGUAGUCCCUGUCUCUUAUAC
Molecule: ribosomal RNA, 301 nt
Filed under: uncultured bacterium
Lineage: Bacteria
Description: partial 16S ribosomal RNA
Rfam family: Bacterial small subunit ribosomal RNA
Source: RNAcentral